Molecule: ribosomal RNA, 702 nt
Filed under: Caballeronia sp.
Lineage: Bacteria; Pseudomonadati; Pseudomonadota; Betaproteobacteria; Burkholderiales; Burkholderiaceae
Description: bacterial SSU rRNA
Rfam family: Bacterial small subunit ribosomal RNA
Source: RNAcentral
ACGGGAGGCAGCAGUGGGGAAUUUUGGACAAUGGGGGCAACCCUGAUCCAGCAAUGCCGCGUGUGUGAAGAAGGCCUUCGGGUUGUAAAGCACUUUUGUCCGGAAAGAAAACCGCCGCCCUAAUAUGGUGGUGGGAUGACGGUACCGGAAGAAUAAGCACCGGCUAACUACGUGCCAGCAGCCGCGGUAAUACGUAGGGUGCGAGCGUUAAUCGGAAUUACUGGGCGUAAAGCGUGCGCAGGCGGUCUGUUAAGACCGAUGUGAAAUCCCCGGGCUUAACCUGGGAACUGCAUUGGUGACUGGCAGGCUUUGAGUGUGGCAGAGGGGGGUAGAAUUCCACGUGUAGCAGUGAAAUGCGUAGAGAUGUGGAGGAAUACCGAUGGCGAAGGCAGCCCCCUGGGCCAACACUGACGCUCAUGCACGAAAGCGUGGGGAGCAAACAGGAUUAGAUACCCUGGUAGUCCACGCCCUAAACGAUGUCAACUAGUUGUUGGGGAUUCAUUUCCUUAGUAACGUAGCUAACGCGUGAAGUUGACCGCCUGGGGAGUACGGUCGCAAGAUUAAAACUCAAAGGAAUUGACGGGGACCCGCACAAGCGGUGGAUGAUGUGGAUUAAUUCGAUGCAACGCGAAAAACCUUACCUACCCUUGACAUGGUCGGAAGUCUGCUGAGAGGUGGACGUGCUCGAAAGAGAACCGGCGC